This 253-nucleotide ribosomal RNA is filed under the name uncultured bacterium. RNAcentral describes it as "partial 16S ribosomal RNA". It matches the Rfam family "Bacterial small subunit ribosomal RNA", at positions 524 to 776 of the family's 1533-position model. The record is from RNAcentral.
GACAGAGGGUGCAAACGUUGUUCGGAAUUACUGGGCGUAAAGCGUGUGUAGGCGGCUAGGUAAGUCGGAUGUGAAAGCGCCGGGCUCAACUCGGGAAGUGCACUCGAUACUGCUUAGCUCGAGUACCGGAGAGGUUGGUGGAAUUCUCGGUGUAGAGGUGAAAUUCGUAGAUAUCGAGAGGAACACCGGUGGCGAAGGCGGCCAACUGGACGAGUACUGACGCUGAGACACGAAAGCGUGGGGAGCAAACAGG